GAUCCUGGCUCAGAUUGAACGCUGGCGGCAUGCUUUACACAUGCAAGUCGAACGGUAACAGGCCGCAAGGUGCUGACGAGUGGCGAACGGGUGAGUAAUGCAUCGGAACGUGCCCAGUCGUGGGGGAUAACGCAGCGAAAGCUGCGCUAAUACCGCAUACGAUCUAUGGAUGAAAGCGGGGGAUCGCAAGACCUCGCGCGAUUGGAGCGGCCGAUGCCAGAUUAGGUAGUUGGUGGGGUAAAGGCUCACCAAGCCGACGAUCUGUAGCUGGUCUGAGAGGACGACCAGCCACACUGGAACUGAGACACGGUCCAGACUCCUACGGGAGGCAGCAGUGGGGAAUUUUGGACAAUGGGCGCAAGCCUGAUCCAGCAAUGCCGCGUGCAGGAAGAAGGCCUUCGGUUGUAAACUGCUUUUGUACGGAACGAAACGGUCCUGGUUAAUACCCGGGGCUAAUGACGGUACCGUAAGAAUAAGCACCGGCUAACUACGUG
RNAcentral lists this ribosomal RNA (494 nucleotides) under uncultured bacterium. RNAcentral describes it as "bacterial SSU rRNA". It matches the Rfam family "Bacterial small subunit ribosomal RNA", at positions 15 to 507 of the family's 1533-position model. The record is from RNAcentral.